UACGUAGGGUCCGAGCGUUGUCCGGAGUUACUGGGCGUAAAGCGCGCGCAGGCGGCUGUCCAAGCCCGGCGUGAAAGCCCCCGGCUCAACCGGGGAGGGUCGUCGGGGACUGGGCGGCUUGAGGACGGCAGGGGUCGGUGGAAUUCCCGGUGUAGUGGUGAAAUGCGUAGAGAUCGGGAGGAACACCCGUGGCGAAGGCGGCCGACUGGGCCGGACCUGACGCUGAGGCGCGAAGGCGUGGGGAGCGAAC
This 250-nucleotide ribosomal RNA is filed under the name uncultured bacterium. Its description in RNAcentral is "partial 16S ribosomal RNA". It matches the Rfam family "Bacterial small subunit ribosomal RNA", at positions 524 to 773 of the family's 1533-position model. The record is from RNAcentral.